GAGAAGUUUAUUCCGACAGACAGGAAUGUUUAAAAGACUCAUUUCUUUGACGUUGAGAAAAAGUCUGGCAAUUUACUUCUUCAAACCGUUCAAUUUUAAAAAGAGCAUAGCAUUAAGACUUGUUUUUGAUUAUGUUGGCAUAGGUUUCACCAAAAAGAUAUACAUUUUAGAUAUGUUUAAGGUUUUUCUUCAUGAAUAAAGAAUUUUUCAAUCUAGUAAUUUAUUCUUCCCUUUCUGUCAUGACUUGGCUGUCGUUAUCCAUUCACCAGAGAACGAAUCGUGGUUUAUUUUACCUGUCUGUGAAAAAUGCUUUAAAAUUUUUGGUUUUUCCAGAUGUUUCGCAAUCACAUUUUCUGUUUGAAAGAAUUUUGGUUUUCCCCCAGUUGUUUGGCAAUUUCUAUAAUUUCAAGGCCCAACAUUUCUGUGCUCCGGAUAUCCCCACCCUGAUACUUUUUUCAAAUCGACAAAAAACCUUUGUUGGAAUAUUUGCGCUUUUGCCACCCACGCCUGAUUUAUGAAAGGAUUUUUUGUUCGGUGUCUAGAAGUGCUUACAUCAGGCUGAUAUCACGCGCUCACCUCAUGUCAUUUCAUCCAAUCAGACAACGCCAAGUAUGUUUUGGCACCACACCACACCACACUUGAACUUUGGAGUAAAACUCUAAUCCAUGUUUCUCUUCACCAAAAUCUUCCGAUUAAAUACAAAACGGCUUUGAUAUUUAUCAUUUGGACAAUUUUGGAUUAAGGAAUAUACAUCAUGUCUUCAAAGUACUACCAAAUGUUAGCCUUGUAAAAUACCAAUAAAAGUUUCAUUCGUAAAAGGUGCUAUUGCUAAUCUAAUGCUCGUUUCUUUGCUAAAUGACCAAAGUAGUAAAACAAAGAGAACGUGAAUGGAAUAAAAUGAUUCAAAGCAAUCAUCAGCGACCAACAUGCCGAAAAAUGACGCAUACAUGCAUCACGUCUUUUCAUUUUCGUAAAAUGUUCACUGCGUCAAAUUACAAUUAUCGGUGAUUCAAAAAACUUUUGCCAAAAGAGAUGGUGCAAACCAUACUUUAUUAGCCAUGGAAAUUAGUCAUCGCAAUUAGUCACUAAUCAGCCGAAACAUCGUUGUGCCAGUUUAUUCGGUUUUAAACUCUCUCAAACUGAUCUACCCUGGAAUGUUUUACCAUGCUCAGUUUUGUAGAAACAUGUGACUUCUCUAUUAUUUUUAUAUCACUCGAAGGAUAGUAACUACGCAUGUAUGUCAUUCACUCCAGUCUACUGAGCUUCUAAAAUAACAAUAAACAAUUAUGCUAUAUCACUAGGACAAGUAUGUUGAAGCACUCACACGUAAAUUGUAUAUAGACCAGCGCUACCUUUUUCCCAGAAGUGUUAGUUUGCUUCUCUCCUAAGUGUGCCUGUGUACAUAGGCUACAAAGCACUGCAUACUUUUAAAAAAUCAAUGAAGAAUUUCAUGGAAAAACACCGCUAUAUCUAUCAUUUUUCUAAAAUAUGAGUUAAUUAAGAUGACCAACAUUUUGUUCAUAAAAAUAUCUGAUAAUUGACACCUUGUCUGCCAAAGUCCGAUAUGUAUUUUUGAAGAUAUGAUAAAUUGUAUAUCAUAUUUUCUUAUUAUUCUCUUUAUUUUAGCAGACAAUAUUCAUGCAUCAUCUCAAAAUUAAUAAAAUGGAUAUAUUGCUUUCAGCAAUGAAACUCUUCAAAUGCUGACAUAUCAUUAGUCAAACUCAGUUUUCAUCAUUCAGUUAUUCACUUUGCCUGCAAGUUGUGAAGACUGCAGAUUAAAAAAAGCUUUUUUGCUUUAGCGUUUUGGUGUAAUGUUUCAAUAUCAAAUCCCCCAUUAAAGAAAGAGGAGGUGAAAUGAAUUCAGUUGAGAAGGAUGAAAUUAUACAAUUAUAUCAAUGUUUCCUAGCCAUCAUCCUUAUGUUUUUAAUUAAAUUUAGGUAAAGCAAACAAUCAAUUAAACCAUUUACCGUGAAACCACGAACACACGUUAAGAUUUAAACAAAUGCAUUCGAUCUGUUGCAAAUUCUACACCCUGGGGCAGACAGAACACUUCAACAGUUGCGUUGACAGAGGUGAAAGGCUAUAAAUACGCAUAACAAGAUCAAUGAGGACAUGUGAAAGUUUGUCAAACUUCCAUUGGUACGGAAUAUUGGAGUCAGUUAAAUGAAGGCUUUCGCUAGACUAGAGAAGGCAAACAUGGAAUCUACUGAUUGCAAGAAAGAGACGAGACCAGAAGCGAAAGACCCUAGCAAGGCUUCGGGAAAGGCUUCCAUCAUUCAGAAGAUAGAUCGUGAAUGUAUGAUACCCCAAGGUCUGACCCCGGUCGAUGGUAAUGAGCCAAGAAGAAGUAGGAAACCAAGGAAAGAAGAUCCUGAUACGUGACGAUCAGUCCUACCAGCGUGACGCAGUGAGGAGCUUAGCCGUGCAACACCGCUCAGCGCCCGUACCAAAACAUCGGCCAAACACGCUCAUUCACACAGUACGGUAUCUGCACAAUAAAGCUCCAGCAGUCGUCACAAUAUUUACAUGGAACUUAUGCAUUUACACCUGUCUUUUCAUGUAAUUAUAAGAACUGACUUCGGAAAGUGGUUUGAUGACAUACAGGAACUCAUUAAUUCCAUAUCGAUUACUGGAUUUCCGUGAUGAAAAUAGCAUGUGGAGUAGCUGGAGGCCGUUCCAUAUAUCAUAAACAAUCUAGGGUAUUGAAGUUGUUUAAUUUCUUCUAAACUCAGAGUUACUCAGCUACGUAAAUACAUGCAAUACUUAGGAAACACCACUUGAAAAAGAUUUCUGUGUAUGAAAUAAUUCCUUUAGUUUAUGGUAUUUUUUCUGCAAUGCCUGUUAUGGUGUAUAUGAGGGUAUAUAAUACCAAGCAUUUUCAGUAUGUUUCAGUGAUAGAAAAUGGAGCUAGAUGAGAGUUGUAUUUUAUAACCAAGCUUCAAAACUAUUCUGAAUACAGCAAUGAUCAGAUGUGAAGUGCAAACUCCAAUAUGCACAACUUCAAACAGUUUUCAGUUCCUGAUAAGGUCUCAUUUCCUUUCUAGAUAGAAAGAGACUUGAAAACUGAUGUGUAUUUCAUUAACCAGUACAGUGUUGAUGACAUUGUUUUCGAAAGUCAUCUCAAAUAAUCAUUUUAUACCUAGGCAUGUAAGAAUGUAAGAUAACUGUUCAUGGAACUGAUGCCUCUCACACGUUGGUUUUUUUUUCUUACUGAGUUUGUAGCUUUUCUGUUUAGGAUAUUGUGGGCAGUUUUGUAAAUAAAUGCAUUGAGGUGGGAGGAUUAAAUUCUCUGUUUUAAGCUGUACAGUAGCGGUCUCUGUUCAUAAUUAUGCUACUGUCGCAAUGCUGCUUUCAGUGUACAUGUGGGAAGAUUCCUAAAAUAUGAACCGUCAUAAAAUUAAUGAUGCAUAGAGAGCCGACGGCCUGUCUGUGUGUUGAGAGGUGAUAUCUUCAUCUGAGCUUGUCAUCAUCUGUGAAGCACGAGUCCUUGACUCGUUAGCCAUCGACGGGUUUACACGACAGGUUUAAUCGCUGCUGAUUAUCUGCUACUGCAUGCUACACUUCGAUGUCUUCAUAAUACCCUCAAUUAAGUCUGGUUUUCUCAUUAAGAACGUAGAGAAUAUCUAAGAGUUUAUGCAAAUGAGCUACUUAUGGAAUGGGGAACCACUGUUCUCUUCAAGGUGCGUGGUAAAAAAGUUUAACUUCCCUCACGUAAGUUGUGAUCCACAGUCCAAAACCAUAUGUGUAAUACAAAGCAAACAUAAAGAGAAUACAGAAUUGUUUUCACCAUUGUAGAGUAUAAAACAAAACGGUCUCUACAAUGAUUGAUAUUCUAAUACAUCAUAACUGGUGUUCCAGUUGGUGUGGCAAAAUUCAAAAUUUUUGUAACUAAGCUAUAAUACUACCAAUUGAUAGUGGGGUAAUUAAUCGCAUUACUAGCCUCCAAAAAAAUUCGCGGAUGAAUUUAUAGACCAGCAUUGUGAUCAACAGUAGUAGUCUGAGCAUCUGGAAAAUUGUUUUGAUCAGAGCGAGUCGACACUGGCUUCCUGUGAACUAAGUUCUCAUUUGUUGAAUGCCAGCCAUCUGGAGUUUAUAAACAGAUUGGAAUGUGAAUCAUUCCAUUCAGGUUGGUACAUUCAGAAAGUGAAUGUUGUUUAAUAGAGGUCACUGUCGUCACUCUCUGAAAACAAGGGAUACAGUAAUCUGUUUUUCUCUGUCGUAUUCAUUUCAAAUCUUCAUCAAUUAAAAGAAAGCAAAAAGAUAUCUGUCA
This is an unclassified non-coding RNA of Acanthaster planci (crown-of-thorns starfish), 4270 nucleotides long. NCBI's taxonomy places the organism in Eukaryota, Metazoa, Echinodermata, Asteroidea, Valvatida, Acanthasteridae. The record is from RefSeq and is a predicted model, not a curated record.